AUUGAACGCUGGCGGCAAGCCUAACACAUGCAAGUCGAGCGGAUGACGGGAGCUUGCUCCUUGAUUCAGCGGCGGACGGGUGAGUAAUGCCUAGGAAUCUGCCUGGUAGUGGGGGACAACGUUUCGAAAGGAACGCUAAUACCGCAUACGUCCUACGGGAGAAAGCAGGGGACCUUCGGGCCUUGCGCUAUCAGAUGAGCCUAGGUCGGAUUAGCUUGUUGGUGAGGUAAUGGCUCACCAAGGCGACGAUCCGUAACUGGUCUGAGAGGAUGAUCAGUCACACUGGAACUGAGACACGGUCCAGACUCCUACGGGAGGCAGCAGUGGGGAAUGUUGGACAAUGGGCGAAAGCCUGAUCCAGCCAUGCCGCGUGUGUGAAGAAGGUCUUCGGAUUGUAAAGCACUUUAAGUUGGGAGGAAGGGUUGUAGAUUAAUACUCUGCAAUUUUGACGUUACCGACAGAAUAAGCACCGGCUAACUCUGUGCCAGCCGCCGCAGUAA
This 500-nucleotide ribosomal RNA is filed under the name uncultured bacterium. RNAcentral's name for it is "partial 16S ribosomal RNA". It matches the Rfam family "Bacterial small subunit ribosomal RNA", at positions 30 to 523 of the family's 1533-position model. The record is from RNAcentral.